CAGAUCUCCUAGUGCAGCCGUGGACGAGCCCCUACAGGAGCAGCCUCGGCUGGAACUGCACCCCGUGUGGAGGAGCCCUGUCAGGGCAAGAGGGCUGGGGGAACUGCUGCUUGUGGAGCAGUGUGCUCCUGAAGGUGGGCUUUGUGAAAGGGGAGCCAUGUCAGAGCACUGCUUGAUGAGCUGCGCCCUUGGGAAGCUGACACAGCUAACAAGUUAUCUUUUGGACUCGAGGGGAAAUUAAAACAAACAAACAAAAAACCCCACAAAACAGUAUGUAUGACAUUCAGCUGUUACAAUUAACAUAUAUAUUUCCAUUAUUCUUUUCUUGUCCUUUCUAUGGCCCUCAGUCCUUUAAUAACCAGAAGAAAAAUACUCUAUCAUGUUAAAAUUAGAAAUGAACUUUUGAACCUUCAGUGCUGAAAAUUAAUAAAACAGCUCUGUCCUCUUUCACUGACGCAAUAAAUGAUAUAAUGCCAGUAAGAAGAAAUUGUAUAGCAGAACGAUUUUGAGUUAGAGGGAUUGCACUGCUCCAGCAAACACACCGUAGUUAGAGUAAUCCUAUUAAGAAGAAAUAUGAAUGAAGACAUUUGUUAAACCAAUAUACAUGUGGGAAGAUGAAAUAACCCUGUAUUGGUUUCAAAGCAUAGCCUUAUUUUGAAUUUAAUCAUGCUGUUACCUCUUUGGAAUGUAUCCAGUUCUGUUCUUAAUAUGUUAAUUAGAAUUCUCUUCCCCUAAGGUAACUUGAAAACUGCUUCUGUGUUAAAGUUUCCUUCUGUGUGUGUAUGUGUGUGUGUGUGUAUAUAUAUAUAUAUAUAUUACAUGUAGUGUGUGUGCGUAUAUAUGUUUGUAUGUGUAAUACAUAUUAGGACCUGAGGUAAUGGCAUGGAGCUAUUUCAGGGGAGGGUCAGGUUGGUGAUUAGGAAGAGGUUCUUCACCAGAGGUUGGUUGGGCACUGGAAGAGGCUCCCCAGGGCAGUGGUCACAGCCUUAAGCUGCCAGAGUUCAGGAAGUGUUUUGACAGUGCUCUCAAACAUAGGCUUUGAAUUUUGUGUGAUUCUGUAUGGAGCUAGGAGUUGGACUCAGUGAUUCAUGUGGGUCCCUUCCAACUUGAUAGUAUUCUGGAAUUCUGUGAUUCUUUGUUGAACUACAUCUAUGUAUAUGGGUUGCUCAACCGGAGAGUUUGGUUGGUUUAUUUAAUUCUGCAUCCAUUCAGGCCUAUUCUAGAUUAACUGAAAACUAACAUUCUUCUAAAUUGAG
This 1256-nucleotide long non-coding RNA is filed under the name Gallus gallus (chicken). The record is from RNAcentral. Lineage: Eukaryota; Metazoa; Chordata; Aves; Galliformes; Phasianidae.